RNAcentral lists this ribosomal RNA (497 nucleotides) under uncultured bacterium. RNAcentral's name for it is "partial 16S ribosomal RNA". It matches the Rfam family "Bacterial small subunit ribosomal RNA", at positions 28 to 507 of the family's 1533-position model. The record is from RNAcentral.
GAUGAACGCUGGCGGCGUGCCUAAUACAUGCAAGUCGAGCGAACGGACGAGAAGCUUGCUUCUCUGAUGUUAGCGGCGGACGGGUGAGUAACGCGUGGAUAACCUACCUAUAAGACUGGGAUAACUUCGGGAAACCGGAGCUAAUACCGGAUAAUAUUUUGAACCGCAUGGUUCAAAAGUGAAAGACGGUCUUGCUGUCACUUAUAGAUGGAUCCGCGCUGCAUUAGCUAGUUGGUAAGGUAACGGCUUACCAAGGCAACGAUGCAUAGCCGACCUGAGAGGGUGAUCGGCCACACUGGAACUGAGACACGGUCCAGACUCCUACGGGAGGCAGCAGUAGGGAAUCUUCCGCAAUGGGCGAAAGCCUGACGGAGCAACGCCGCGUGAGUGAUGAAGGUCUUCGGAUCGUAAAACUCUGUUAUUAGGGAAGGACAUAUGUGUAAGUAACUGUGCACAUCUUGACGGUACCUAAUCAGAAAGCCACGGCUAACUACGUG